RNAcentral lists this ribosomal RNA (515 nucleotides) under uncultured bacterium. Its description in RNAcentral is "partial 16S ribosomal RNA". It matches the Rfam family "Bacterial small subunit ribosomal RNA", at positions 28 to 523 of the family's 1533-position model. The record is from RNAcentral.
GAUGAACGCUGGCAGCGUGCCUAAUACAUGCAAGUCGAGCGAAUGGAUUAAGAGCUUGCUCUUAUGAAGUUAGCGGCGGACGGGUGAGUAACACGUGGGUAACCUGCCCAUAAGACUGGGAUAACUCCGGGAAACCGGGGCUAAUACCGGAUAACAUUUUGAACCGCAUGGUUCGAAAUUGAAAGGCGGCUUCGGCUGUCACUUAUGGAUGGACCCGCGUCGCAUUAGCUAGUUGGUGAGGUAACGGCUCACCAAGGCAACGAUGCGUAGCCGGACCGGGAGGGUGAUCGGCCACACUGGGACUGAGACACGGCCCAGACUCCUACGGGAGGCAGCAGUAGGGAAUCUUCCGCAAUGGACGAAAGUCUGACGGAGCAACGCCGCGUGAGUGAUGAAGGCUUUCGGGUCGUAAAACUCUGUUGUUAGGGAAGAACAAGUGCUAGUUGAAUAAGCUGGCACCUUGACGGUACCUAACCAGAAAGCCACGGCUAACUACGUGCCAGCCGCCGCAGUAA